Molecule: long non-coding RNA, 221 nt
Filed under: Elaeis guineensis (African oil palm)
Lineage: Eukaryota; Viridiplantae; Streptophyta; Magnoliopsida; Arecales; Arecaceae
Description: long non-coding RNA (EGUI_LNC016223)
Source: RNAcentral
UUUGGGCAAAUAAACUUGUCAAAACAUCUAUCUUAUGCAAUUCCACCUAGCUGGUUAAUUACCCAUCGAUGAAUUAUUGGAAAUGACCCAAAUUGUCAAAAACAGGACAACCGAUCUUCCUUAACAAAACGAAGAAUUCAAAUUUAAGCUCAAGGUUUGUUCAUUUCAGAGAUGAUCUUCAGAUCCUGUCCUACAUGAAGCCAAAAGGUUUUUGUCAUCAA